GUCUGUGACCAUGCCACCGUGAACAAGCCCGAUGUCUGAUCUCGGAAGCUAAGCAGGGUCGGGCCUGGUUAGUACCUGGGAUAGGAGACCACUUAGGAAAACCAGGUGCUGUAGGCA
This 117-nucleotide ribosomal RNA is filed under the name Pteropus alecto (black flying fox). The record is from RNAcentral. Lineage: Eukaryota; Metazoa; Chordata; Mammalia; Chiroptera; Pteropodidae.